This is a long non-coding RNA of Molossus molossus (Pallas's mastiff bat), 424 nucleotides long. RefSeq lists it as uncharacterized. NCBI's taxonomy places the organism in Eukaryota, Metazoa, Chordata, Mammalia, Chiroptera, Molossidae. The transcript is spliced from 3 exons. The record is from RefSeq and is a predicted model, not a curated record.
CUUCUGCGAAGCUCACAGGCCGGUACCGGGCCGCGCUCCUGCGCUCCGGGCCAGCAGCCCCCAGUACACAGCCGUAGGAAUUUAAAGGAGCCACAUCGCACAAAACACGCAGAGUGAACUGAACCACCAGGAGAAGAGUCGCCCUCCUACGAAAGAGGAAGAGCCUCCAUCCCUGGGACAUGGACCAAACCAAUCCAACCAAAGACCAGACCACACCAGACCACACCAGCUGGCUCAGGCAGAGCUGGCUGGGGGGGCUUCCCCGAACAAGUGGAGCUCGCAAGAACCUGAGUGGUGAGUGCAACAGGUAGAAACGAGGGGAGGAAUUAAGGAAUGCACCCCAGCCUGCCCUUGGAAGGCCUGCAGACUUACCAUGGGGAUCAAAGGCUAGUGGGCCCUAAGGGAGAGCGUAAAUGAAGGACAC